Molecule: ribosomal RNA, 396 nt
Filed under: uncultured bacterium
Lineage: Bacteria
Description: bacterial SSU rRNA
Rfam family: Bacterial small subunit ribosomal RNA
Source: RNAcentral
UCGGGAAUUUUGGGCAAUGGGCGAAAGCCUGACCCAGCAACGCCGCGUGAGGGAUGAAGUAUUUCGGUAUGUAAACCUCGAAAGAAUGGGAAGAAUAAAUGACGGUACCAUUUAUAAGCUCCGGCUAACUACGUGCCAGCAGCCGCGGUAAUACGUAGGGAGCAAGCGUUGUUCGGAUUUACUGGGCGUAAGGGCGCGUAGGCGGCGCGGUAAGUCACUUGUGAAAUCUCUGAGCUUAACUCAGAACGGCCAAGUGAUACUGCUGUGCUAGAGUGAGGAAGAGGCAACCGGAAUUCUUGGUGUAGCGGUGAAAUGGGUAGAUAUCAAGAGGAACACCUGAGGCGAAGGCGGGUUGGUGGGCCGACACUGACGCUGAUGCGCGAAAGCCAGGGGAGC